UAUAGCAACCAGACGAGAAGCAAUGACAAUUUGGAAUGAGAGAUAAAACUGACUGUGUCUUCACACUGCCAGAAGUGACAGCAGCACUGACUGCAGAGCCUCAAGGAGCAGAGGACUUUUCCUCUGCAGUUUUAUGUGACUGGAUGUGGGUGAACUUGCAUGGUAAAGAAAGAGGUGAUGAACAGCCUUCUCAUUCAAGACUAUUCAAAUAUGUGUACAAACACAGUAGUUAAAGCAUAUUCUCAAGUCCAAGCAGAAACAAGAUCACCUGGGUUCCUAGCCACUCAUUAAGUGAAGAUUUACUAAGUACCACCAGAAUGGGCCACAUACAGUCACAUUUCCAGAUCUGCUGGGGACAGACAGGACAUGGCCGCCUGGACUAGAGCUUCUGCGAGGGAUCCCGCUGACAUCCAUAUUGAGCAUUAUCUCCAACCCAAUGGAGCUGAGAUGUAUUUGAUUAAACCACACUUUGAGAAUCAACCUCAUUAUUUACCAUCAUCGACUGCACUGGCCACAUAGAAAUUAGGUUGAGCACCCGGGAUGGAAGGCUGAAUCGUGCUCCCUCUCGAUGUGUCCAUUACUUCAUUCCAAGAGCACAAAUAUGCCACUUGGUAUAAAAGAACGAACUUGCACAUGUCAGUAAACUAAGGAUCUUGAGAUGGGUGGAUUACCCUGAAGUAUUUGAGUGUGCUCAGUAUUCAUAAAUUUUAUUAUGAGAGAGAAGCUACAGGAUAAGAUUCAGACAAGAAGACUGGAAGAUGCUGCUGUGCUGGCUUUUCAAGUUGGAGAACAGAGUCAUGAACCAAGCAAUGCAGAACACCUCUCAGAGUCAGAAAAGGCCCAGAGCACAGGGAUGGAGAAUCCCCCGUGAAGCCUACAGAAAUAGUGCAGCCUUGUAUUUUAGGAAUUUUCAAAACUCUAGAAGAACAUAUUUAAAUUAUUUUAAGCACUAACUAUGUGAUAAUUUUAGAGCAAC
Fukomys damarensis (Damara mole-rat) is the source of this 976-nucleotide long non-coding RNA. RefSeq lists it as uncharacterized. Lineage: Eukaryota; Metazoa; Chordata; Mammalia; Rodentia; Bathyergidae. The transcript has 5 exons. The record is from RefSeq and is a predicted model, not a curated record.